AUUGAACGCUGGCGGCAGGCCUAACACAUGCCAGUCGAGCGGAUGAAGGGAGCUUGCUCCUGGAUUCAGCGGCGGACGGGUGAGUAAUGCCUAGGAAUCUGCCUGGUAGUGGGGGAUAACGUCCGGAAACGGGCGCUAAUACCGCAUACGUCCUGAGGGAGAAAGUGGGGGAUCUUCGGACCUCACGCUAUCAGAUGAGCCUAGGUCGGAUUAGCUAGUUGGUGGGGUAAAGGCCUACCAAGGCGACGAUCCGUAACUGGUCUGAGAGGAUGAUCAGUCACACUGGAACUGAGACACGGUCCAGACUCCUACGGGAGGCAGCAGUGGGGAAUAUUGGAAAAUGGGCGAAAGCCUGAUCCAGCCAUGCCGCGUGUGUGAAGAAGGUCUUCGGAUUGUAAAGCACUUUAAGUUGGGAGGAAGGGCAGUAAGUUAAUACCUUGCUGUUUUGACGUGACCAACAGAAUAAGCACCGGCUAACUUCGU
Molecule: ribosomal RNA, 483 nt
Filed under: uncultured bacterium
Lineage: Bacteria
Description: partial 16S ribosomal RNA
Rfam family: Bacterial small subunit ribosomal RNA
Source: RNAcentral